AACCUGCCCAAGAGAUCGGGAUAACACCUGGAAACAGAUGCUAAUACCGGAUAACAAUAGAUGAUGCCUAUCAACUGUUUAAAAGAUGGUUCUGCUAUCACUCUUGGAUGGACCUGCGGUGCAUUAGCUAGUUGGUAGGGUAACGGCCUACCAAGGCGAUGAUGCAUAGCCGAGUUGAGAGACUGAUCGGCCACAUUGGGACUGAGCACGGCCCAAACUCCUACGGGAGGCAGCAG
RNAcentral lists this ribosomal RNA (236 nucleotides) under uncultured Lactobacillus sp. RNAcentral describes it as "partial 16S ribosomal RNA". It matches the Rfam family "Bacterial small subunit ribosomal RNA", at positions 123 to 354 of the family's 1533-position model. The record is from RNAcentral. Lineage: Bacteria; Bacillati; Bacillota; Bacilli; Lactobacillales; Lactobacillaceae.